CUCUGUGACUCCUACGGGAGGCAGCAGUGGGGAAUAUUGCACAAUGGGGGAAACCCUGAUGCAGCCAUGCCGCGUGUGUGAAGAAGGCCUUCGGGUUGUAAAGCACUUUCAGUAGGGAGGAAGGUAGUGUAGUUAACACCUGCACUAUUUGACGUUACCUACAGAAGAAGCACCGGCUAACUCCGUGCCAGCAGCCGCGGUAAUACGGAGGGUGCGAGCGUUAAUCGGAAUUACUGGGCGUAAAGCGCAUGCAGGCGGCCUGUUAAGUCAGAUGUGAAAGCCCGGGGCUUAACCUCGGAAUUGCAUUUGAAACUGGCAGGCUAGAGUCUUGUAGAGGGGGUAGAAUUUCAGGUGUAGCGGUGAAAAUGCGUAGAGAUCUGAAGGAAUACCAGUGGCGAAGGCGGCCCCCUGGACAAAGACUGACGCUCAGAUGCGAAAGCGUGGGGAGCAAACAGGAUUAGAUACCCUGGUAG
RNAcentral lists this ribosomal RNA (473 nucleotides) under uncultured bacterium. RNAcentral describes it as "bacterial SSU rRNA". It matches the Rfam family "Bacterial small subunit ribosomal RNA", at positions 328 to 793 of the family's 1533-position model. The record is from RNAcentral.